AUCUACAGCCAUGCCACCCUGGACGUUGCCCGAUCUAGUCUGAUAUCGGAAGCUAAGCAGGGUCGGGCCUGGUUAGUACUUGGAUGGGAGACCACCUAGGAAUACCAGAUGCUGUAGGCG
RNAcentral lists this ribosomal RNA (120 nucleotides) under Pteropus vampyrus (large flying fox). The record is from RNAcentral. Lineage: Eukaryota; Metazoa; Chordata; Mammalia; Chiroptera; Pteropodidae.